CUUAAAGACCAGGCUAAUCACUGCAGAGAUGGGGUGCUUGUUUUUCAUCAGCUGCAAGAUUUACAUAAAAAUCCCUUAAACUGGAAUUCAACAAAAGGAAUUAGAGAGUUAUGGGUCCCUCUUCCAUGAAGCUUGGUGGGUGGGGAGUGCUGAAGACAGACAUUCAACAGAACCGUUUGAGAGUAAGUUGCAGGCAUCAUGGCACUUCGUUCCUAAAUACUUCAGCGUGCACCUCUUAAGAACAAGGACUUUCUCCAAAUAACCACAACAUCACUACCACUGAAGAAAAUGAGGAAUCAUGACUGAGCUGGGCUUUGGAGGAAAGGCACGUUUUGGAUUUUUGAUGACUAGCGACAGGCGUCUUGGGCAGAGGACACAGGGUGAGCCCAAGCCCAGAUGUAGAAGUCUAUUUUCAUCUCUUCAUUUGACGGGAAACCACUCCUAGACCAGAAAGCUGAAGUGAUUUGCUG
RNAcentral lists this long non-coding RNA (470 nucleotides) under Equus asinus (donkey). RNAcentral's name for it is "lncRNA (ENSEASG00005028013.1)". The record is from RNAcentral. Lineage: Eukaryota; Metazoa; Chordata; Mammalia; Perissodactyla; Equidae.